GCGUUGUAUGAAAGGAAAGAAGGUUAGCAUUUCCCUUGACAAAGAUGGACGAGGCCCUCUGGCCUAACAAUCUUCAUAAUUAAGUCAUUAACACCUAUUUCAUGGCAUCUAACGAUUUGUAU
Octodon degus (degu) is the source of this 122-nucleotide small nuclear RNA. The record is from Ensembl. Lineage: Eukaryota; Metazoa; Chordata; Mammalia; Rodentia; Octodontidae.